Molecule: ribosomal RNA, 503 nt
Filed under: uncultured bacterium
Lineage: Bacteria
Description: partial 16S ribosomal RNA
Rfam family: Bacterial small subunit ribosomal RNA
Source: RNAcentral
GAUGAACGCUAGCGGCAGGCCUAACACAUGCAAGUCGAGGGGUAGCAGGAUUAAGCUUGCUUAAUUGCUGACGACCGGCGCACGGGUGCGUAACGCGUAUGCAACCUACCUUAUACUGGGGUAUAGCCCGGAGAAAUUCGGAUUAAUCCCCCAUAGUACUAAUGAAUCGCAUGGUUUAUUAGUUAAAGCAUUGCGGUAUAAGAUGGGCAUGCGUCCUAUUAGCUAGAUGGUGAGGUAACGGCUCACCAUGGCUACGAUAGGUAGGGGGCCUGAGAGGGUGGUCCCCCAAACUGGUACUGGGACAAGGACCAGACUCCUACGGGAGGCAGCAGUGAGGAAUAUUGGUCAAUGGGCGCAAGCCUGAACCAGCCAUGCCGCGUGCAGGAAGAAUGCCCUAUGGGUUGUAAACUGCUUUUAUUUGGGAAUAAACCUCUUUACGUGUAGAGAGCUGAAGGUACCAAAUGAAUAAGCACCGGCUAACUCCGUGCCAGCAGCCGCGGUAA